UGGGGAAUUUUGGACAAUGGGGGCAACCCUGAUCCAGCAAUGCCGCGUGUGUGAAGAAGGCCUUCGGGUUGUAAAGCACUUUUGUCCGGGAAGAAAUCGCACCUGAUAAUACCGGGUGUGGAUGACGGUACCGGAAGAAUAAGGACCGGCUAACUACGUGCCAGCAGCCGCGGUAAUACGUAGGGUCCAAGCGUUAAUCGGAAUUACUGGGCGUAAAGCGUGCGCAGGCGGUUGUGCAAGACCGAUGUGAAAUCCCCGGGCUUAACCUGGGAAUUGCAUUGGUGACUGCACGGCUAGAGUGUGUCAGAGGGGGGUAGAAUUCCACGUGUAGCAGUGAAAUGCGUAGAGAUGUGGAGGAAUACCGAUGGCGAAGGCAGCCCCCUGGGAUAACACUGAAGCUCAUGCACGAAAGCGUGGGGAGCAAACAGG
RNAcentral lists this ribosomal RNA (429 nucleotides) under Bacillota bacterium. RNAcentral's name for it is "Firmicutes bacterium partial 16S ribosomal RNA". It matches the Rfam family "Bacterial small subunit ribosomal RNA", at positions 355 to 776 of the family's 1533-position model. Lineage: Bacteria; Bacillati; Bacillota. The record is from RNAcentral.